AGAGUUUGAUCCUGGCUCAGGACGAACGCUGGCGGCGUGCUUAACACAUGCAAGUCGAACGGAAAGGCCCUUCGGGGUACUCGAGUGGCGAACGGGUGAGUAACACGUGGGUGAUCUGCCCUGCACUUUGGGAUAAGCCUGGGAAACUGGGUCUAAUACCGAAUAUGACCAUGCACUUCCUGGUGUGUGGUGGAAAGCUUUUGCGGUGUGGGAUGGGCCUGCGGCCUAUCAGCUUGUUGGUGGGGUAAUGGCCUACCAAGGCGACGACGGGUAGCCGGCCUGAGAGGGUGACCGGCCACACUGGGACUGAGAUACGGCCCAGACUCCUACGGGAGGCAGCAGUGGGGAAUAUUGCACAAUGGGCGCAAGCCUGAUGCAGCGACGCCGCGUGAGGGAUGACGGCCUUCGGGUUGUAAACCUCUUUCAGCACAGACGAAGCGCAAGUGACGGUAUGUGCAGAAGAAGGACCGGCCAACUACGUGCCAGCAGCCGCGGUAAUACGUAGGGUCCGAGCGUUGUCCGGAAUUACUGGGCGUAAAGAGCUCGUAGGUGGUUUGUCGCGUUGUUCGUAAAAACUCACAGCUUAACUGUGGGCGUGCGGGCGAUACGGGCAGACUUGAGUACUGCAGGGGAGACUGGAAUUCCUGGUGUAGCGGUGGAAUGCGCAGAUAUCAGGAGGAACACCGGUGGCGAAGGCGGGUCUCUGGGCAGUAACUGACGCUGAGGAGCGAAAGCGUGGGGAGCGAACAGGAUUAGAUACCCUGGUAGUCC
This 771-nucleotide ribosomal RNA is filed under the name uncultured bacterium. RNAcentral's name for it is "bacterial SSU rRNA". It matches the Rfam family "Bacterial small subunit ribosomal RNA", at positions 8 to 796 of the family's 1533-position model. The record is from RNAcentral.